Molecule: long non-coding RNA, 350 nt
Filed under: Bos taurus (domestic cattle)
Lineage: Eukaryota; Metazoa; Chordata; Mammalia; Artiodactyla; Bovidae
Description: long non-coding RNA NONBTAT005011
Source: RNAcentral
AGCCGAGCAGCUGGCUGCCGCCUCCUUUCCCCUUCCCUCCCCGCGCCCCCUCCGCCCGGGACUGGACCUGCCUUCAGCCACCCUCUAGACAAUGGUCUCUUUAAUCUCUGAUUUGGAUCCACUCAAAGACUGGAAAGUUUUAAGAGAGACAACCACAGAAUUAGCUGGAAGUCUACCAAGGCCCCAUGGAUCCACAUGAUGAAGGUUUCAGGAGAAACAAGAGAGAUGCUCAUUACCACUCUCUCCGCCUGGCUCUGACUCCUCUUUCAAUCAUCACACACAGGCUUUGAAGGGUUCUCGGAACCACUGAUUGCUGUAGGACAGACUCAUCGUUCUGCCCAAAGAGGCUG